AGGAGCCAAGGGCAUCAGAGCCAAACCCGGACCCCGUUAGAUCGUCAAACCCCUCCUAUUACCCGAGACGGGUGUUUGACCUCUGAGGAGUGCUUUCAACACAGAAGCCAUUAAAGAUCACAGACAGUAAGAGACACGGGCCCAUGUAAUGACAGGCCAGCAGAUGAAGAGUGGAUGGGCUCGGUCACGAACUUGCUGGGUGACCCUGGGUUUUCCACUUUUAACAACUCAUGGGAUUAGACCAGCCCCCACUGGAUAAUCAGGAUAGUUGCCUCAUCUCCAGAUGCAUAACUCCGAUCAUAUCUGCCACCUAAGUGGCAUAACUUGCCUCAUCUCCAGAUGCAUAACUCCGAUCCCUUUUGCCACCUAAGGAACGGAGAAGAAGGGGGUGGAGAAAUGGCUACAGAGAAUUAGUUACCACCACUGACACAGGAAAACCUGUUGGCAAAGCUGCAUGACCAAACGCAAUCAAACCCGGGUUUGCCCUUCAAGAGCCACCUCUUCGGUCAAGUGUUUACUGAGCCCCCACGAUAGACAAAAUUAUUCCUGCUGUUAUGUUUCUUCUGCAUUCUACAAUAUUAUCAGUUUAAUUGUCACAGAUGGUUGUUCUUUAGGGAGGGGCUAUCUGUUUUAUUCUUUUAUACCCAGCUGUGCUCAGCACAAUUCUUGGUAACCAUACUGGGUGUUCAGAAUGUUUGCUAAACUGUUCUGCUGAAGACCGGUACUCAGGAAGUACGUGCAUUACUGGUGUACAGAGAGGAUACUGAUAUGGUCUGGCUUUUCAAAUGUCAGCAUUUGCAAAGGGAAUGUUUGCGCCGAGAACGCAAUACCAGGGUGCUUUGCCCCUACAAACUUCUAUCCCAACCGAGCUCCUGGCCAAACUCAUCUGCAGCACAAAUAGACAUCACCAGCCAAGCCACACGAACGCUCCAAGGAAACAAUGAUGAACUCACAGGGGAAAAUUCUAACAUCUCUAUUAUAUGCUUGCACUUAUUACAGACCUGGAAGAGAAACAACAAAUGAAGCAACCUGUGAUAUAUAAUAAAUAUAUAUUUGAUCUGUGUCCCAGUUUCUGGCCUGCAGCUCCCCAAACCCCUGGAAUCUCCAAAGCCUACGAGCAAUGGGAGCAUCUUUUGUUAUAUUUGGUCUUUGUCCUCACUUCCUGAACUAGAUUCAGUGUGAUCUAAGUGAAAUGGGCACCUUCUGUUAUUCAUAACAACCCACACAUCUGGUGUUGGAAGCGAAGUUGUGAUGUGGUGAUGUGAGAGUAAAAGAAACACAGAAAUGAGUUUCUUCUUUGGAAGACCUAUACCACGGGAAAGAGAAUUUUAAAAUUUAGUAAG
Prionailurus viverrinus (fishing cat) is the source of this 1343-nucleotide long non-coding RNA. RefSeq lists it as uncharacterized. The record is from RefSeq and is a predicted model, not a curated record. The transcript has 3 exons. NCBI's taxonomy places the organism in Eukaryota, Metazoa, Chordata, Mammalia, Carnivora, Felidae.